Molecule: long non-coding RNA, 278 nt
Organism: Engraulis encrasicolus (European anchovy)
Lineage: Eukaryota; Metazoa; Chordata; Actinopteri; Clupeiformes; Engraulidae
Exons: 3
Source: RefSeq, a predicted model, not a curated record
CAUAGAGAGUCGGUCCGCUCCUCCUUACCUGACGGUUGGUGGUGGGUUGCUCUUCUGUUCCAGAGAAAAAGGAGAGAUUGCAGAGAGAGGCAAAGGCUGCUGCUGUGAGAAGCUCAGGCAUAAAGGUUAUUGGUCUUGACAACACUGAGUUUUGAUGCCACCAUGUGAAGAAACUCAAUGUACUCAGCAAAGACAUGCAGAUGCAGACCUUCUGGCCUUCCUCCCAGCUGGUCCAGAGGUCUCCGCGUGUGAGGAAGCAGGCCACCAUAUGUCUGGCC